Molecule: long non-coding RNA, 3928 nt
Organism: Mobula hypostoma (lesser devil ray)
Lineage: Eukaryota; Metazoa; Chordata; Chondrichthyes; Myliobatiformes; Myliobatidae
Exons: 3
Source: RefSeq, a predicted model, not a curated record
CACUGAUUUGAAGACGACGGAGAUUGACAUGGAUGCUACAGUUACGAUCAAGCAGGGACCAAGAACAAACUGAGGCACUCUGUUCUGGUGCUCAGAUAUCGUCAGACUCUCCCAGGAUCUAAAAGCAAAACUGAGAGACUGCAAUGAAGAAUCCCUCUAUAGCUGUGUGCGACGAUAUGGACAGUCAGACAGGACUGCCUAAAUGCCAGCAGCAUAACGGACAGGAAAUUUCCAACAUCUGCUGCAGUUUUUUUUUUGGUUUCCAUUUACAGUGGAAUGAGGGCACCCGUCAAGAAUGUCUCAUUCCUGCUAUUUAUGUUGUCUGUCUCAAUGAAACAACAUCACACAGAAGGGAGUUCAGAAGCCCAAGGACAAGGUGGCAGUGACAGCAAUCAGCUUGUCUUCUCAACACAAGUCGAAAAGCAGACUGUUAGUAUCUGAAUCCCAGAUCUACAAGUCAGUCUGGGGCAUCCAAACUGGGAGACAAUUUUGCCAUACUCACCAUUAAACAGAGAGUUAUUUUGCACCAGAUCACACCGACCUUUCAGUUCCUGGUUACAACUUCCCCUUUUUAUGAACUCAAAUCUACAUAUUUUAAAAUGGCACACAAUAAUUACUUAAAAACACAAAGUUCAGAAGCAGGGCUGAAUGGAAUGAUCUGUCUGCUGGGAACUUUCUAUGAGAUGGAUGUUUUUGACUGAAAAGUGGUUUGCCAAGUAUUUUGGAAACUGAGAGAUUGUUUUGAAGUCUUUUUGGUCAAUAAUUUAAACUUAGUCAUGGUUUUCCUACCCGAAGUUUAGUCAUACCUAUUCUUGGUGUUGCAAAGUACAACUCCCUUUCAAAGUUUUAUUCAACCUUAUUCUGGCAAUUUUCCUAGGUCAUAUUUUCCAAGAUUAUUAUUUUUCCCCUAUGAUUCACAGCACUGGAACAGGAAGAGGAAGCUAAACAGAACUCUUGAACAAGUAAGGGGAAGCCGGCUUCAUUCUCAAAAACCUGGGGGCACAAAUUUACAAUAAUUGGCAAUUAAAUAGAGAUGAAAUGGGUUAGCACACAUAUUGAGCCAAAUGUGUUUGUCUGCUUCAUCUCCAACAAAAUGGAGUGGCGCUACUGGACAUCAUCAUUUUUAUUUGAGGAAAAUGUUGCUUGGUGUUGGACAGAGAUUGGAUCCAAUUGCAAGGGGAUGUGCUCCUUUCUCAGGACUACCAAUUAAUUAAUUGGGUUAUUCCACUUGGCACUCUGUAGGAAUGGUGGUUAGGCUGCUCCAUGGCCACUAAUUGUGAGCCAUUUGUGCAUUAUAAGACCAUAAGGUAGAGGAGCAGAAUUAGGCCUUUUGGCCCAUCAAGUCUGCUCUGCCACUCCAUCACGGCUGAUCCACUUCCCUCUCAGUCCCAGUCUGCUGCCUUCUUCCCGCAUCCCUUCAUGCACUAACCAAUCAAGAAUCUAUCAACCUCUGCCUUAAAUAUACCCAGUAAUUUGGCCCCCCACAGCCGCUUGUGGCAAUGGCUUCCGCAGUUUCACCACUCUCUGGCUAAAGGAUCCUGGAAUCAUUUUUGUGAACCUCCUUUGAAUCCUCCCCAAUAUCAGAACAUUCUAACCUCCCUUGUGCUUUAUAAAGCCUCAAUAUUACAAUCUUGGUUUUAUAUCUUGGCAUUUGCUUUCCUCACCACCGACUCAACCUGCAAGAUUCUCAGAUUCUCAACCUGAGAAUCCUGCACGAGGACUCCCAAGCCACUUUGCACCUCAGAUUUAAAAAUUUUCUCUCUACUUAGAAAAUAGUCUACACCUUUAUCUCUUCUACCAAAGUGCAUGACUAUACAUGUCCUGACACUAUUUCAUCUGCCUCUUCCUUGCCCAUUCUGCUAACCUAAGUAAGUCCUUCUGUAGACUCUGCUUCCUCAAACUAUCUGCUCCUCCACCUAUCUUUGUAUCGCCUGCAAGCGUUGCAACAAAGCCAUCAAUUCCAUCAUCCAAAUCAUUGACAUAUAACACAAAAAGUAUUGUUAUUUCUUCAAAGAAUUCCAACAGAUUGGUCAGACAAGAUCUUCCCUUAAGAAAACCAUGCUGUCUAUCGCCUAUUUUAUCGUGUGCCUCUAAGCAGCCCAAACCACAUCCUUAACAAUCGACUCCAACAUCUUCCAAGCCCCUGAGGUCAGACUAACUGGCCUAUAAUAUGCUUUCUUCUGCCUUUCUCCCUUCUUGAAGAGUGGAGUGAUAUUUACAAUAUUUCUGUUCUCUGGAACCAUUCUAGAAUCCAAUGAUCCUUGAAAGAAUAUUACUAAUGCCUCCGGGGUGUAUGGGGUGUCCGGGGAGGGGUAGCACCUUCGGUGGUGGGCUUGUUGUGCUCCGCGCAGGGGCAACUCAGCCACCUUUGGUUGCUCCUGCCAGCCGGCUCUCACCUGUCACUCCAAGUGAUCGUUUGCAUGUGACAGUGGCCACGCCCCAGUGCACCGCUUCAACAGGCCGGCUAAACCAGGUGAGGGUAGCUGGGAACCUCCAACCCCGGUGAGAUAGGGAGAUGACGACCCCAGCAUGUGAAGCCAGCUCUGGCACAAUGGGCAAAUGAGAUCAACUGCAUGCUCCAAAGGGCAAGAAGGCGGUGCUGCAACACUUCACGGAGAGCGAAGGGUAGGACAAGGCACAGAAGGCAACAUGUCUAUCCACUGCAGCUGAGGAAGUAUCCAGACGUGAUGGUUUUUCAUAGCAUUGGUCCAAGAUUUUUGAGGCCAAGAGAGUGGAACUGCCCCAGUGCAAUGUUUUUUUUUCCCCACAAUAAAACUUCUCCCGCACAGGUUUUAUCUGUACAGCACAGACAAACGUCAUCGUCGGAAACAAUGAACAACCAACACUAAUGCCUCCACAAUCUCCUCAGCUACCUUCUUUCAGAACCCUGGAAUGUGGACCAUGUGGUCCAGGUGACCAAUCUACCAUCAGGCCUUUCAGCUUCCCAGGCACCAUCUCCCUAGUAAUGGCAACUUCACACACUUAUGGCCCCUUACACUCAAGUUUCUGAGAUACCGCUAGUGUCUUCAACAGUGAAGAAUGAUGUAAAAUACCUAUUCAGUUCAUCCGCCAUUUCCUUUGCCCCCAUUACUACUUCUCCAACUUCAUUUUUUAGCAGUCCAAUAGCAAUUCUCACCUCUUUUACACUUUAUACUGUAUAUCUGAAGAAACUUUUGGCAUCCUUGUUAAUAGUAUUGGCUAGCUUACCUUUGUAUAUCAACUUUUCAUUCUUUAUGACUUCUUUUUAGUAGCCUUCUGUUGGUUUUUAAAAGCUUCCCGAUCCUCUAACUUCCCAAUACUUUUUGCCCUAUUAUAUGCCCACUUUUUAGCUUUUAUGUUGGCUAUGACCUCUUGUCAGCCAUGGUUGUGUCAUCCUGCCUUUAGACUACUACUUCUUUGGGAUGUAUCUAACCAGUACCUUCCAUCCAUUGCUGCUCUGCCAUCAUCCCUGCUAGUGUUCCCUUCCAAUCAAUUUUGGCCAGCUCCUCUCUCAUGCCUCUGCAAUUCCCUUUACUCCAUUAUAAUACUGAUACAUCUCCUUCUUCGUACUGUCCACAAUUACAGGAUGAAACUAAACAUCCUCCACCCAAGAGCGUAUUACAUCAUGACCCUGAACACCCCCCACCCAAGAGUGUAUUACUACCUACAUUGCUGCGUGUGGGGCACUGGCUUUUGUGCUAAAUGAUUGCACAUUCCCCAAGAUGUGGCAAUGACUCGAUUUCAAAGAUGUUUCAUUGGAGUUAAAGCACUUUGAAACACCCUCUUAUUGUGGAGGAAGCUGUCUUAUUAUGCAUGCAUAACGAAGAACUUCAGUUUCCAGUGGGAGAUACGAGGGGCUCACCCGAAAGUGGAAGCUACUAUGGUGACCAGAUUGCACGCGGACAGGGUUGAGUGGCAGUUCAGUAAUAAAAUGUGUUAAUGCAAAUCC